GGAUCAGUGGCGAACGGGUGAGUAACACGUGGGCAACCUGCCCCCGGCUCUGGGAUAACUCCAAGAAAUUGGGGCUAAUACCGGAUGUGACUGCUGACCGCAUGGUCUGGUGGUGGAAAGAUUUAUCGGCUGGGGAUGGGCCCGCGGCCUAUCAGCUUGUUGGUGGGGUGAUGGCCUACCAAGGCGACGACGGGUAGCCGGCCUGAGAGGGUGACCGGCCACACUGGGACUGAGACACGGCCCAGACUCCUACGGGAGGCAGCAGUGGGGAAUAUUGCGCAAUGGGCGGAAGCCUGACGCAGCGACGCCGCGUGGGGGAUGACGGCCUUCGGGUUGUAAACCUCUUUCAGCAGGGACGAAGCCGUAAGGUGACGGUACCUGCAGAAGAAGCACCGGCCAACUACGUGCCAGCAGCCGCGGUAAUACGUAGGGUGCAAGCGUUGUCCGGAAUUAUUGGGCGUAAAGAGCUCGUAGGCGGUCUGUCGCGUCGGCUGUGAAAACCCGGAGCUCAACUCCGGGCCUGCAGUCGAUACGGGCAAACUGGAGUGUUGCAGGGGAGACUGGAAUUCCUGGUGUAGCGGUGAAAUGCGCAGAUAUCAGGAGGAACACCGGUGGCGAAGGCGGGUCUCUGGGCAACAACU
This 641-nucleotide ribosomal RNA is filed under the name Blastococcus sp. I12A-02675. Its description in RNAcentral is "bacterial SSU rRNA". It matches the Rfam family "Bacterial small subunit ribosomal RNA", at positions 89 to 741 of the family's 1533-position model. The record is from RNAcentral. Lineage: Bacteria; Bacillati; Actinomycetota; Actinomycetes; Geodermatophilales; Geodermatophilaceae.